Molecule: ribosomal RNA, 506 nt
Filed under: uncultured bacterium
Lineage: Bacteria
Description: partial 16S ribosomal RNA
Rfam family: Bacterial small subunit ribosomal RNA
Source: RNAcentral
GACGAACGCUAGCUACAGGCUUAACACAUGCAAGUCGAGGGGUAACGAGAGGAAAGCUUGCUUUCCUUGUCGACGACCGGCGCACGGGUGAGUAACGCGUAUCCAACCUGCCCCCAACUAGGGAAUAACCUUGCGAAAGUAAGACUAAUACCCUAUAAUUUCCUCAGAUGUCAUCUGACGAGGAAUAAAGAUUUAUCGGUUGUGGAUGGGGAUGCGUCUGAUUAGCUUGUUGGCGGGGUAACGGCCCACCAAGGUAACGAUCAGUAGGGGUUCUGAGAGGAAGGUCCCCCACAUUGGAACUGAGACACGGUCCAAACGCCUACGGGAGGCAGCAGUGAGGGAUAUUGGUCAAUGGGCGGAAGCCUGAACCAGCCAAGUAGCGUGCAGGAUGACGGCCCUAUGGGUUGUAAACUGCUUUUAUACAGGAAUAAAGUUAGCCACGUGUGGUUAUUUGUAGGUACUGUAUGAAUAAGGACCGGCUAAUUCCGUGCCAGCCGCCGCGGUAA